RNAcentral lists this ribosomal RNA (440 nucleotides) under uncultured bacterium. RNAcentral describes it as "partial 16S ribosomal RNA". It matches the Rfam family "Bacterial small subunit ribosomal RNA", at positions 338 to 795 of the family's 1533-position model. The record is from RNAcentral.
CCUACGGGCGGCAGCAGUGGGGAAUAUUGCACAAUGGGGGAAACCCUGAUGCAGCGACGCCGCGUGAGUGAAGAAGUAUUUCGGUACGUAAAGCUCUAUCAGCAGGGAAGAAAAUGACGGUACCUGACUAAGAAGCCCCGGCUAACUACGUGCCAGCAGCCGCGUUAAUACGUAGGGGGCAAGCGUUAUCCGGAUUUACUGGGUGUAAAGGGAGCGUAGACGGCAGCGCAAGUCUGGAGUGAAAUCCCAUGGCUUAACCAUGGAACUGCGUUGGAAACUGUGCAGCGAGAGUGCAGGAGAGGUAAGCGGAAUUCCUAGGGUAGCGGUGAAAUGCGUAGAUAUUAGGAGGAACACCAGUGGCGAAGGCGGCUUACUGGACUGUAACUGACGGUGAGGCUCGAAAGCGUGGGGAGCAAACAGGAUUAGAGACCCGUGUAGUC